This 254-nucleotide ribosomal RNA is filed under the name uncultured bacterium. RNAcentral's name for it is "partial 16S ribosomal RNA". It matches the Rfam family "Bacterial small subunit ribosomal RNA", at positions 524 to 776 of the family's 1533-position model. The record is from RNAcentral.
GACGGAGGGGGCAAGCGUUGUUCGGAAUUAUUGGGCGUAAAGGGCUCGUAGGCGGAUCUAAAAGUCUGACGUGAAAUCUCCACCGCUCACCGGGGAGGGGCCGUUGGAUACUGUAGAUCUGGAGUUCGGUAGAGGGUCGUGGAAUUUCGGGUGUAGCGGUGGAAUGCGUAGAUAUCUGGAGGAACACCGGUGGCGAAGGCGGCAUCCUGGACCGACACUGACACUGAGGAGCGAAAGCCAGGGGAGCAAACGGG